This 1863-nucleotide ribosomal RNA is filed under the name gut metagenome. RNAcentral's name for it is "bacterial LSU rRNA". It matches the Rfam family "Bacterial large subunit ribosomal RNA", at positions 470 to 2423 of the family's 2925-position model. The record is from RNAcentral.
AUACUACCCAGUGACCGAUAGUGUAUAGUACUGUGAAGGAAAGGUGAAAAGCACCCCGGGAGGGGAGUGAAAAAGAACCUGAAACCCUGUGCCUACAAGCACCUAGAGCGCGUCAAUGCGUGAUAGGGUACUUUUUGUAGAACGGUCCGGCGAGCGAUUGUAUGCAGCAAGGUUAAGGACUUAAGGUCUGGAGCCGAAGCGAAAGCGAGUUUGAAAAGGGCGUUAAGUUGCAUAUAAUGGGCCCGAAACCGGGUGACCUACCCAUGGUCAGGUUGAAGUGGAAGUAAAAUUCCAUGGAGGACCGAACCGACCUCCGUUGAAAAGGCGGCGGAUGAACUGUGGGUAGCGGAGAAAUUCCAAUCGAACCCGGAGAUAGCUGGUUCUCCCCGAAAUAGUUUUAGGACUAGCCUCAAGUUAGAUACCUGGAGGUAAAGCACUGAAUAGCCUAGCGGCCGAGAGGUUAGCGAAGCUUAUCAAACUCAGAAUGCCAGAGUAUUGAUGCUUGGGAGUCAGACAGUGUCAGAUAAAUGUCAUUGUCAAAAGGGAAACAGCCCAGAUCUACAGCUAAGGUCCCAAAGUCAGGUUAAGUGGAAAACGAUGUGAAGAUACGCAGACAACCAGGAUGUUGGCUCAGAAGCAGCCACUCAUUCAAAGAGUGCGUAAUAGCUCACUGGUCGAGCGUCUUUGCGCGGAGAAUUUAACGGGGCUAAACCUGACACCGAAGCUUAGGCAAUCCAGUAAUGGAUUGGGUAGGGGAGCGUUGUAUACGCGGAGAAACAGUAGCGUAAGCGGCUGUGGAGUGUAUAGAAGUGAGAAUGCCGGAAUGAGUAGCGCGAAUGCAGUGAGAAUCUGCAUGGCCGAAAGCCUCAGGUUUUUGGAGGAAGGUUCGUCCGCUCCAAGUUAGUCGGGAGCUAAGGUGAGGCCGGAAGGCGUAGCCGAUGCACAGACGGUAGAGAUUCCGUCACCACCAAAAGAGUUAAGCACAGGGACACAUUUGAAGUCUCAGAGCCGGGUGUUGGUUCCGGUAGAGAUCGAGGGAAAUUAGUACCGAAGUCUGAGAUGGAAGAUGGCGAGAAAAGCUGUGUGUAUUUCUGAGGUGCCCGUACCGCAAACCGACACAGGUAGGUAGGAAGAAGAUUCUAAGGCCAACGGGAGAAGGGUUGUUAAGGAACUCGGCAAAUUGACCCCGUAACUUCGGGAGAAGGGGUGCUCCAGAGAUGGAGCCGCAGAGAAUCGGCCCAAGCAACUGUUUACCAAAAACACAGGUUUGUGCUAAAUCGAAAGAUGACGUAUACGAGCUGACGCCUGCCCGGUGCUGGAAGGUUAAGAGGAGAUGUGCAAGCAUUGAAUCGAAGCCCCAGUGAACGGCGGCCGUAACUAUAACGGUCCUAAGGUAGCGAAAUUCCUUGUCAGGUAAGUUCUGACCCGCAUGAAAGGCGUAAUGAUUUGGGCACUGUCUCAACAGCCCGCCCGGCGAAAUUGUAGUACCGGUGAAGAUGCCGGUUACCCGCGACAAGACGGAAAGACCCCAUGGAGCUUUACUGUAGCCUAAUAUUGGGUUUCGAUGUUGCAUGCACAGGAUAGAUGGGACACUGGGAAACAAUCGCUUUGGCGGUUGCGGAGUGGCCGUUGGGAUACCAUCCUUGCGAUAUUGGAAUUCUAACCUGCGGCUCUGAAUCGAGUCGGGGGACAUUGUUAGGUGGGCAGUUUGACUGGGGCGGUCGCCUCCUAAAAAGUAACGGAGGCGUUCAAAGGUUCGCUCAGCUUGAACGGAAAUCAAGCAAAAGAGUGCAAACGCAGAAGCGAGCCUAACUGCGAGACUGACGGGUCGAGCAGUAACGAAAGUUGGAGUUAGUGAUCCGG